Molecule: ribosomal RNA, 304 nt
Filed under: uncultured bacterium
Lineage: Bacteria
Description: partial 16S ribosomal RNA
Rfam family: Bacterial small subunit ribosomal RNA
Source: RNAcentral
CAGCAGUCGCCGCGGGAAUACGGAGGGUGCAAGCGUUAAUCGGAAUUACUGGGCGUAAAGCGCACGCAGGCGGUCUGACAAGUCAGAUGUGAAAUCCCCGGGCUUAACCUGGGAACUGCAUUUGAAACUGUCAGGCUGGAGUCUUGUAGAGGGGGGUGGAAUUCCAGGUGUAGCGGUGAAAUGCGUAGAUAUAGGAAGGAACACCAGUGGCGAAGGCGACCACCUGGACUGAUACUGACACUGAGGUGCGAAAGCGUGGGGAGCAAACAGGAUUAGAUACCCCUGUAGUCCCUGUCUCUUAUAC